UUUCCUGAAAAAACGGGGGCAUCUGAGAACCCCAAAUUUGGGGAGCUAGUCCAGGACAGUCCUGCCAACAUCCUAGAUUUUUUUGGUAUUUUUUGGGGCCCCCGGGACCCCUCUAGAUGGGGUGAGGAAUGUAGUGUUGGGGGAAUCUGACUGGGGCACUGCAGCUGCCUCUCCCGCCGAGUUGGAGACGGAUGGGCUGGGACGGGUUUGGGGGGGUGUCCCCAAUUCUGACUGGGAAUGGAGGAACCCCCUCCUGAGAUCUCUUGUGGGGGUCCCCCCUCCCUAGGGCACUCCCCACUCCCUGAGCCAGCCGAGAGGAAGGAGGCCAGCGAUGCGACUGGGGCGGCUCCUUUCUCCUGCACCCCAAAUGUGAGGGAUGCACCCCAAAUUUUGCUCCCUUCAAAAUAGGGGACCAGGAUCUCAGGGGAGAGUAGCUGAGGCAGCAACCUCACAGCCCUCACCAGCCUUCUGUUUCUUUAUGGGAGGACCCCCGGCCUCAGGGACACUGGAGCUGCUUGGCGGAGGUGCAGCUGGAGGAGGUGACAAGACACCAGAUGCCAUCUUCUUGGGCCCUUUCUUGGGUGACUCAGCUGGAAGGGGAAUCCCAGAGUCUUCAUAUACCUUGCGCUUCACUGUAGCCUUUAUCUGAGCCCUUAAAAGAUAAGAGAACAGUCCUCAAGGGAACAAAACUAGCAACAAUGUAGGAAAGGCAGAGCUGGAAGGGAGUUCUGAGGAAGAUGGAACAAUGGGUAUGGAGGAAGAAAGCUGCCCACCCCCCCUUUCUCCGCCAGCUAACCCUCCCUCACACUGUCCGUUCCUUGAUGACACAGCUGAUGUGAUUAAGAUCGUCCCCAAACCGCU
This is a long non-coding RNA of Manis pentadactyla (Chinese pangolin), 861 nucleotides long. RefSeq lists it as uncharacterized. The record is from RefSeq and is a predicted model, not a curated record. Lineage: Eukaryota; Metazoa; Chordata; Mammalia; Pholidota; Manidae. The transcript is spliced from 3 exons.